This 429-nucleotide ribosomal RNA is filed under the name uncultured bacterium. RNAcentral's name for it is "bacterial SSU rRNA". It matches the Rfam family "Bacterial small subunit ribosomal RNA", at positions 355 to 776 of the family's 1533-position model. The record is from RNAcentral.
UGGGGAAUAUUGGACAAUGGGCGCAAGCCUGAUCCAGCCAUGCCGCGUGGGUGAAGAAGGCCUUCGGGUUGUAAAGCCCUUUUGUCCGGAAAGAAAAGCACUGGAUUAAUACUUCGGUGUUCUGACGGUACCGGAAGAAUAAGCACCGGCUAACUUCGUGCCAGCAGCCGCGGUAAUACGAAGGGUGCAAGCGUUACUCGGAAUUACUGGGCGUAAAGCGUGCGUAGGUGGUUCGUUAAGUCUGAUGUGAAAGCCCUGGGCUCAACCUGGGAAUUGCAUUGGAUACUGGCGGGCUAGAGUGCGGUAGAGGAUGGCGGAAUUCCCGGUGUAGCAGUGAAAUGCGUAGAGAUCGGGAGGAACAUCUGUGGCGAAGGCGGCCAUCUGGACCAGCACUGACACUGAGGCACGAAAGCGUGGGGAGCAAACAGG